UGAGUUAAGAUCGACGGUUUAUUCAUUAAUUAUUGAGGUUUAAAUCUAACAUAGGAAUUAUUAGGGUUUGGUUUAGGAUUUGGUUAGGAUUUGGUUUAGAAUUUAGGGUUUGUAUUAGGGUUUGAUUUAGGAUUUAGGAUUUGAUUUAGAAUUUGAUUGGGAUUUAUUUAGAGUUUAAGAUUUUGUUAGGAUUUGAUUUAGGAUUUGGAUUAGAGUUUGAUUAGGGUUUGAUUUAGGGUUUAGGGUUUGGUUUAGGAUUUGGAUUAAAAUUUGGUUAGGAUUUGAUUUAGGAUUUAGGAUUUGGUUUAGGAUUUGGUUAGGAUUUGGUUUAGGAUUUCGUUGGGAUUUGGUUUAAGAUUUGUUUAGUGUUUGAUUUAGGAUUUAGGAUUUUAUUAGGAUUUAAGAUUCAAUUAGUUUUGGCCUAAAGUUUGAAUGAAGUUCAAUAGGAUUUUAACUAGAAUUAAAUUAAGAUUGAAUUGAGAUGUAUUUUAGUGAUAUUUGUGAUCCUUCUAAUAUUUCUUUAAGAAUUCUUAUUAUUUGUUUGAAAUUUCUUUGAGAUUUUUUUGAAUUUUAUUAAGCUUGCUUAGCAUUAUUAUGAUCUAAUUAGAGUAUUGUUAGCAUUCUAUUAGAAUUAGAAUUUUAUUAUUGCAAUUUCCAUUCUUCCUUCUAUAGCCAUGUGCCCGGAGCAUUCUCAAGCAAGACUUCACGUAUUACGACAAUGUUGAUGACUUUUUAUUCUAAAAGAUUUGUAAUAGCCAAGAUCAACUAGAAGAUCCACAAUAAAGAGCUUCUUGUAAACAUAGAUUUAUUUUUAA
This 815-nucleotide long non-coding RNA is filed under the name Physcomitrium patens. Its description in RNAcentral is "long non-coding RNA (PPAT_LNC002246)". The record is from RNAcentral. Lineage: Eukaryota; Viridiplantae; Streptophyta; Bryopsida; Funariales; Funariaceae.